This 376-nucleotide RNase P RNA is filed under the name bacterium. RNAcentral describes it as "RNase P RNA component class A". It matches the Rfam family "Bacterial RNase P class A". Rfam says of the family: Ribonuclease P (RNase P) is a ubiquitous endoribonuclease, found in archaea, bacteria and eukarya as well as chloroplasts and mitochondria. The record is from RNAcentral. RNAcentral also lists the same sequence under 1 other name.
CGAGUUGGUCAGGCGAUCGCUGGUAAGCCAUCUGGUUUGCGAGAGGAAAGUCCGGGCUCUACAGGACAGGAUGGUCGGUAACGCCGACCGAUCGUGAGAUCAGGGAAAGUGCAACAGAAAAUAAACCGCCUGAAUUUUGGUUCGCCAAAGAUCGGGUAAGGGUGAAAAGGUGGGGUAAGAGCCCACCAGUAUUCGGGGCGACUCGAGUAGCUUGGUAAACCCCAUCCGGAGCAAGGCCAAACAGAAAGAAGCGGUUGUUCGCCGCGUUUUAACUUUCGGGUAGGCUGCUUGAGUGCGUCAGCAAUGUCGCGCCUAGAUAAAUGAUCGUCGUCGGUGUAAACCGACUACAGGACCCGGCUUACGACCAACUCGUUUU